This is a long non-coding RNA of Gallus gallus (chicken), 2054 nucleotides long. RefSeq lists it as uncharacterized. The record is from RefSeq and is a predicted model, not a curated record. Lineage: Eukaryota; Metazoa; Chordata; Aves; Galliformes; Phasianidae. The transcript is spliced from 5 exons.
GACCACAGCACUGAUGUGCUGCAGCUUGCUUUGCAGCCUGUAUACAAUUAAGAAAAAAAGUUUUUGGUUUUAGUUUUUUUUCCAAAGGAAGUACUCUGUGUAUUCAUUUACUUUUCCUUAAGGGCCAACUGAGGUUGUUUUCAGAACUGAAUUUGAGAUUUUGAGCAGGUUUGAGAAUCUACCAAGCCCUCAUGUUAUUAGUGCUCUGUUUCUCCUGAGACUGAAUUGCAUUGUUACCUGCUCUUUCUUCAGAAAUUAUUGUGUAUUGUUAACUUAUGUUUCCAUUCAUGUAAUAACAGGGUAGUUGAGCAAAUGAUGAUGGUGAGGAAAUGAUAAGAGGACUCUAUUUUCUGCUGCUCUGUAGAUCUGCCAACUGACUGUGAUGAAAUGUGAUUGGUUGUGUUCAAGGCCAAACCCAUGGUGACAGUGAUAUCUCUGGGACACCUAAGCCAGCUGAAGAGGAGCACUGUGGAUUCUAUCAUCAGAUGGUCCUAUUUCCUGCCUUCAUCAUCUGUGCUAGACUCACAUCUGAGGUGGGAGAUCUCAGUUGCCAGCUUCCUUUGGGAAAAAAAAUGCGACCUACAUCUUCGUGUGUUGAUGAUGCUGGGGACUUGCCUUCAAGCCAGGUUUAAGCAGGAGGUACCUGUUUCUGCAAGCCCUGGACAUUCCUCAUUCACAGUGGCAGCAAAAUUGAUAUCCAGCUGCUUCAUCAUCUUGUCUGCAGUCGUGUGAUAGACUCCUGAAGGACCAGUACACUUCAUCCAGAAAGCCAGCAGCGACAGCUUCUUGUGGAACUCUGGGAUUGCUGAGGGAGAAGACAAAAUGAAAGGUGAAACAAAGUUGUGCUCAGUGCGUUGUCUUCCUAAAGGGAAAUGUGAUAGGUGUGGAGGACAUCCACUCCAUCUCGCUGAUGGAAGAUGUGAGAAAAUCUGCUCCCGAUCCAGUUCUGGACACUGAUGUCUCAUCUCUUUGAAUACCAUGAAUUACUAGGGGAAAUACUAGGGGAAAUGAAUGGUCUGCAUGAGACUGGUCCUUGUCCAAGCACUGCUCUGUAGCCUUGGGGGAGCUGGACUAGAUGGCCCUCCCUUGGAAGGGAGAUAGAUCCCUUCCAACUCUAAGGAUUCUACGAUGCUAUGAAUAAGGUUCCUGACCAACUUCAGCGACUGCUACAUCCAUUUGUGAGUUAUCUCCUGCUAUGGUGGCACUCCCUGCAGUCACGAUGGUUAUUUCAGCAGGCCCGCUGCCCAAACCAGCCCUUUUCAGAAGGAAGACCCCUAAUGUGCCUCUUACCAUCGGUAAGGGAGGUGAUGCUUCCCAAGUUCUCGGUGCUGAUCUCUGCAAUAUUCUCCAUUACAAGAGUCUGCCUGGACAGCUUAUCAAGGAGGUCUCUUGUCACAAAUGGUGUUUUACCGGAGAAGACAAUUUGCUAAUGGAGACAAGAUGGAAAGGAAGACGAGUCAUUUUGAAACCUCAAAACAAAACUUAAACCUCUGAAACACCUGGCACCUGAAGAAAUGAGAUGGCAAAUUCUUUGCCUGGAAUUAUCAAAUAUUUCUUGUUGCUCUGCUUUGUUUUGGCUCCGAUCCCCUGCCCAGCUGCCUGUGUUUGGUGCUUUCCCAUGGCCAAUACGCCCCGCUGCUGACAUCUGCAUUUCCUUCAGCAGUCCAACAUCAUUCAUAUCAAACCUGGACAGAGUUCAAGCCUGCCUCCCUCAGCUGCAUAUUUACUGUGAGCUCUUGUAUAUGAGCCAAAAACUCCCUUUUUCUCAUACUCGUGAGUCAGUGGAGUGUCCAGCUCAGUGCUAAGGGUACUGGAAUUAGGGUUGUUCUGCAUUGCUCCAGUGGGCUUCUGGGAAAAAAUGCUGAUUAUAUCUCAAGUUGAAGAGUCCGCUCCAAAAUGCUGUGACUGUUGUGGUGGGGGUGAAGAAUACCAGGAGGGGAGGCUCCCACUGCCACCACAGCCAUCCCAGCACUCGCUGGCCUUGCCAAACCAUUUACACCCACAAAAAUGUAAAAAUAUAAUGCAGAAAUGAGCCGGGCUCGGUACCUGGAUGA